UGGAGAAAAGCGGAACUAUUCUUUUUGCUUUUUUAGCUUUUUAUUUUCUUAAAUAGAGGGGUUUUAUUUUUAUUUGUUAGAUAUUAGGGGGUUUAUUUAAAAAUCCUUUGGUUUUGGGGAACUAGAAAUAUACGUGUUCUUCUUAUAUAUGCUAGUAAAUAACAAUUAAAGAGGGCAGAAAAUGUGCAAACAGGUGAGGAAACCCGGGAGCUAAGUUUUGGGGCGGGGCUGGAGUCGUAUUAGGUUGAAGGUGGUAUAAAAGACCACCUUGCCGAGGAUGCGUGGCUUUAAACUCGAAGCCAUCUUUUCACUGAGGCAAGGGGAGGCCGCAAAAGGGGGUGGAAAGCCCCCGGGGCAGCAGUAUAGAACUUUGUGCAAUGCACGAAAGUGCGAUACAGAAGGGGCGUAUUAUCUAAUCUGUCUAAUUAAGUGCCAGCAGACGCGGUGAAACUUAAGGAUUAGUAUUAUAAGAAAAGGCGUAAAGGGUGUGAAAGAGAUCUCCCGUAAGAGGGUAAAUGGAAUUUUUCUGUAGGGGUGGUAUGUGUAGAUAGAAAAAAGAACUCUAAACGCGAAGGUAAUUUAUCUCAAGGGAGGGUGUGCCCACCACCCGAUUGAAACACGAAAGUAUGGGGAGCGAAUAGGAUUAGGGACCCUGGUAGUCCACACUGUAAAUAAUGAAGAAGAUGUGAGGCAAUUCUAAAAGGUAUAAAUUUUCCGCUUGAGUAGUACGAUCGCAAGAUUGAAAUUCAAAAAACUUGGCUGUUCACUGUUUUAAUUAGAGGAGCGUGUCGUUUAAUUCGAUAGUCCGCGAGAGACCUUACCCAAACUUGAAUUCGCCCUUUAACAGGUAUUGCAUGGCCGUCGUCAAUUUGUGUAUAAAACGUAAAACCGAUUGAACCCAGUGGAUUCGUUUAUUGGAUGAAGUCAGGUCUUAUUGUCCUAAUGUUUGGGGAUUAGAUGCGCUACAUUUUUUUAUACAAUGGGAGAUUUUGAAGGUGAAACCCUAAAGUAAGAGUUCGGGAGGUGGCUGGAAGAUGACUGAAAGUUGGAUUUGAUAGUAAUUAGAAAGUAGAGCGUUCUAGUGAGAUUGAUUCAGUGUUAGCACAAAUUGCCCGUCGCCUUGGCCUAGAAGGGUGGUUCGAAUGCCUUCUAUUAUGCGGGUGUUGUACAACUUUGAGGCGGAGUAAGUCGUAACAUAGUGAGGGUGAGGGAACUGGCCCUUG
RNAcentral lists this ribosomal RNA (1223 nucleotides) under Pseudocorynactis sp. SIO. RNAcentral's name for it is "small subunit ribosomal RNA". It matches the Rfam family "Bacterial small subunit ribosomal RNA". The record is from RNAcentral. Lineage: Eukaryota; Metazoa; Cnidaria; Anthozoa; Corallimorpharia; Corallimorphidae.